Molecule: ribosomal RNA, 434 nt
Filed under: uncultured Acetivibrio sp.
Lineage: Bacteria; Bacillati; Bacillota; Clostridia; Acetivibrionales; Acetivibrionaceae
Description: bacterial SSU rRNA
Rfam family: Bacterial small subunit ribosomal RNA
Source: RNAcentral
ACGGGAGGCAGCAGUCGGGAAUAUUGCGCAAUGGAGGAAACUCUGACGCAGUGACGCCGCGUAUAGGAAGAAGGUUUUCGGAUUGUAAACUAUUUUAGACAGGGAAGAAAAUGACAGUACCUGUAGAAUAAGCUCCGGCUAACUACGUGCCAGCAGCCGCGGUAAUACGUAGGGAGCAAGCGUUAUCCGGAUUUAUUGGGUGUAAAGGGUGCGUAGACGGGAAAGCAAGUUAGUUGUGAAAGCCCUCGGCUUAACUGAGGAACUGCAACUAAAACUACUAUUCUUGAGUGCAGGAGAGGAAAGCGGAAUUCCUAGUGUAGCGGUGAAAUGCGUAGAUAUUAGGAGGAACACCAGUGGCGAAGGCGGCUUUCUGGACCGUAACUGACGUUGAGGCACGAAAGUGUGGGGAGCAAACAGGAUUAGAUACCCUGGUA